Pantherophis guttatus is the source of this 483-nucleotide long non-coding RNA. RefSeq lists it as uncharacterized. Lineage: Eukaryota; Metazoa; Chordata; Lepidosauria; Squamata; Colubridae. The record is from RefSeq and is a predicted model, not a curated record.
CAAAACAUUCAGAGAUUGCAGCCUAAGGAAAGAUAUUUCACUACACUUCAAGCUUGAAACUCUUCAAGUAGAUCAAAGCUUUGUGACAAGAUAAAGAAUCCUUGGAACAUAUUGUUUGAUUGCAGUGAAGCAGAAAGAUGGAUAUAGAUCACAUAAAUAAAUGAGUAAAGACCUCCUGGAAACAAGCUCAAUUCUUGUCAUCAAGAGAUCAGUAAUGAAAACAUGACAUUCAGCUACAGAAGGCGAAGACUUCAGUCAAUGUUUCAGUGAAGAAUCAGGACAAGAGAAGAAUAAAUUUGAGUUACACUUAACUAGCAAGUGGAACAUUCACAGGCAAGAAAUUUGCAGGACACAAGAAAAACAAGCUGAAUUUUGACUGCUCAGGGCAGGAGAGGAACUGUUAUAUGAAGACUGGAAAUAUGAAAGGAGGUUCAUACCAUCCAUGGAAAGAACAAGGGUGAAAGAUGAUUGGUAAGAAGUUGG